UGAUCGGGAUACCUUGCGAGAGCGGUGCUAAUACCGAAUGGUCUGGGCAUUUUGAAAUGUGCCUGGUAAAUGUGUGCCUCUGAUUCAGCUAUCGUCUNUGGAUGGGUCCGCGUCCCAUUAGCUUGUUGGUAGGGUCAUGGCCUACCAAUGCGACGAUGGGUAGCUGGUCUGAGAGGAUGAUCAGCCACACUGGGACUGGAACACGGCCCAGACUCCUACGGGAGGCAGCAGUGGGGAAUAUUGGGCAAUGGGCGCAAGCCUGACCCAGCAACGCCGCGUGAGGGAAGAAGGUCUUCGGAUCGUAAACCUCAGUCAGGAGGGAAGAAAUGGGUUGUCCUGAACAGGGAUGGCCUUUGACGGUACCUCCAGAGGAAGCACCGGCCAACUCCGUGCCAGCAGCCGCGGUAAUACGGAGGGUGCAAGCGUUAUUCGGAAUCACUGGGCGUAAAGCGCACGUAAUGCGGCUUUGCAAGUCAGGUGUGAAAGCCCUCGGCUCAACCGAGGAAUUGCACUUGAAACUGUAGAGCUCGAGUUCGGGAGAGGGUGGCGGGAAUUCCCAUGUGUAUGAGUGAAAUCCGUAGAUAUCUGGAGUGAACACCCAGAGGCGAAGGCGGCCACCUGGACCGAAACUGACGCUGAGGUGCGAAAGCGUGGGGAGCAA
This 661-nucleotide ribosomal RNA is filed under the name uncultured organism. RNAcentral describes it as "bacterial SSU rRNA". It matches the Rfam family "Bacterial small subunit ribosomal RNA", at positions 135 to 771 of the family's 1533-position model. The record is from RNAcentral.